GAUGAACGCUGGCGGCGUGCCUAAUACAUGCAAGUCGAGCGAACGGACGAGAAGCUUGCUUCUCUGAUGUUAGCGGCGGACGGGUGAGUAAAACGUGGAUAACCUACCUAUAAGACUGGGAUAACUUCGGGAAACCGGAGCUAAUACCGGAUAAUAUUUUGAACCGCAUGGUUCAAAAGUGAAAGACGGUCUUGCUGUCACUUAUAGAUGGAUCCGCGCUGCAUUAGCUAGUUGGUAAGGUAACGGCUUCCCAAGGCAACGAUGCAUAGCCGACCUGAGAGGGUGAACGGCCACACGGGCACUGAGACACGGUCCAGACUCCUACGCAGGGCAGCAGUAGGGAAUCAUCCGCGAUGGACGAAAGCCUGACAGAGCACCGUCGCGUGAAUGAUGAAGGUCUUAGGAUCGUAAAACUAUGUUAUUAGGGAAAAACAUAUGUGUAAGUAACUGUGCACAUCUUGACAGUACCUAAUCAGAAAGCCACGGCUAACUACGUG
Molecule: ribosomal RNA, 497 nt
Filed under: uncultured bacterium
Lineage: Bacteria
Description: partial 16S ribosomal RNA
Rfam family: Bacterial small subunit ribosomal RNA
Source: RNAcentral